UUGCCCUCGUUGCUUAAAUCCUUAAGGUCUAAUUUAGAAAUAUAAAAGAUUGAAUUACGAAGAAUUUGAUAAAGUUAGAUUUUAAAAUUGGAAUCUAAUUUUUUUAGUCAUACAAUGAAAGAGGAUGAACAUGACAGUCCUCAGGGACUAUUUGGUCACAAAUAUUAAAAGCAAAAAUAGUGGUGGAAAUUCAGGUUAUUAUGGUGAUCCACACAUUUCCAUUUGCCACAGCCUCUACUCUGCAUAUCAGAUAAGCAACACCAAAAGAGUACAAUACAAACAACAUUCCAAAGCCCGAAGUGGAGAGAAAAAAACCAUGGUGACCCUUUCUCUGCCUAUGCGUCAAGCCCUUACCUUCCCCUCCUUUCCCAUUUACUCUGCAAUUUCUUCAAACAGGAGGAAUCGGGUAGCUAUAUUUUCGUGUGCUAAUGGUGAUGAUGGGCAGCGGCAUAGGAACCUCCGGCGGAGAAGGAAGGUGGUGGAACACCUAUGUCUGCUCAAAGCAAACAAGUAUUUAUCCUAUGAUCAAGAGAAGGAUAUGCUGGAUUAUCUUUACACAUCUCAAUAUCAGAUGCGUGGAAUUGUUGCAGUGUCUUUGGGCCAAAUAUCUGGUCAAACUAAAGAAGAUUAUACUCAUGCUGUCUUCAUGCGUUUCCAAAGUAAGGAAGACCUUACAAAAUUCUAUGAGAACCCUUUCUACCUGCAAGUUCUGAAGGAGCAUGUAGUGCCUAACUGCCAUAGUUCAAGGUUGGAUGCAUCAUUGCAGGGACUAAUGAAUGUGGAUUAUGAAUCUGAAGUGGAAGACGAUAUACUUCCUAUAUUUCGUAAAGGAGAGGACUUCAACUAUGGUGUAGAGUUUGUGCUUCUGAUUGCAUUUGUUGAGGCUGCAAUCAGUGGACCAGCAGAAGAUGCAUUGACAUCUCUUCAAGAGCUCACUAUGGAAUUUCCAUGCUUAAUUGUCCAAUGCACUCAAGGUUCAAACUUCAAUUUUAGCAGUGAGGAUUAUACACAUGGAGUUGUGAUACGGUUUCGAUCUCGUGAGGCCUUUGAGAUAUUUUUUACCAGCUCAGGAUACAGAGAUGUAAGAAGCCUCAUGCUGUGGAUUUGACAAAUUUAUAUGAUAAUUAUACCUUUGUCUUCUUCUUCAUGUGGUUUCCAUGAGUAUGUUUGCACCCUUUCUACUUGGGGCUUGAGUAUUUCAGAUAUUCUUAGAAAUGGUGCAAGUUGCUGAAAAACUCUGUUUCUCUCUUGAUAUGUAGGCUAUAGUUAUUUUCAGCUUCUACUGAUAUCAUUUGGUGUGGAAAUCUAAAUUCCAACCGAUAGCCAGGAAAACACUAGCCAUUCAUUUUUCUGUUGAUCCCGUGGGCACUGAGAUAAUGUAGUAAGAAUCCAUUACUUUUACUUUUUGCAUUCCUGAUGAUGCAAUUAGACAUAUGCGUGAGAAUUAAAUAGAACGGUUGCGAAGGUUUGUAACACAUCCCAACUUCUUUCUCCCUUCUCUCCUUACCUAACUAAACUGCUGUUCAUUUUGUUUCUUCUUUCUCCCUGCCUUUAGUAUAUCUUGAGUUGUAUCUUGGGUGGGUGGUUGUCUUUUUCGGAUCCCUUGGGUUCGAGGUGUGACUUUAGCUGGGUUUUUUCCUUUUGUUGGGAAUUUUGUCAUCAGAUCUCUUUAAUAAAAUUGCUUUUUGCUUUGCAAAAAAUAUAUAUUUUACUACCACAAUAUUAUGAAAAUAUGCUUGUGGUUCACCUGUACUCUUUUAAAUAGACCAAUUGGUAGUUGAUUAAUGAUAUUAGUCAGGUUUUACCAGUUCUUUAGUAAAUUGAGCUCCCACCCAAAAUUGCCACGGAUUUUGUAUCAUUUGAUGACUGGUAUAGUCCAAGAUCUUUCCCGUGCACAUUCUUAUUCUACUAUUUUCUUCCAUUAGAUUAAAUGACUCAGUUAGAUAUGAGCUCCAACACAAUACUUGUCUAAAGUUAAUUUGGUUAGAGACGAUAGGGUAACAAGGACUUUCUUUGCAGGGUAUUCUUGGAGAAAUGAUGCAAGUUUCAACCAAUAUUGCUUAAAGGGUAUUAUUCAUGGUGACAAACCUCAAGAAAUAUUGCUUCAAGGGUACAAGACUUUAAUUUCACUAUGACAUUUUUAUGUAUUCUCGUAAUUGCAGGUGCAAAAAGUUAAUUUAUGUUAUCGUUGUCCUUAACUAAACGAUUUCCUUUUGUUUCAUGAAUUGGUUGAUGGGGCAUUCGUUUAUCU
Theobroma umbraticum is the source of this 2251-nucleotide RNA transcript. It is a transcript of the gene named Stress responsive alpha-beta barrel domain protein, with no coding region annotated. The record is from RefSeq and is a predicted model, not a curated record. NCBI's taxonomy places the organism in Eukaryota, Viridiplantae, Streptophyta, Magnoliopsida, Malvales, Malvaceae.